AUGCCCGAAGGGGUCUCUCCCUUUCUUCGAUCCAUGCCGGGAUCCUCCGCCGUGUGGCUGCACACGUGCGCAGCCUUCCUCCACCACCCGGCCGACCAGGCCCAUCGCGGCGGCCAGCCCGGGUUGCUCCCCGCCGUGGCAUGGAGGCGUGGCGGCGCGACGGCCCCGAGGGCGAGCCUAGUGGUGGAGCGGACGACGAUGGAGGAGGCAGUGUACGAGAUUAUAAAAAUUCAUGGGGAAGAGAGGCAAGAUCAGAGAAAGAAGAACUAUAAUCAAUAUUUAAAGUUCUCAGGUGCAGGAACUUAUGUGAAGGCCUUUUCUCCUGAGAUGGCGUGA
RNAcentral lists this ribosomal RNA (336 nucleotides) under Triticum aestivum (bread wheat). Its description in RNAcentral is "partial small subunit ribosomal RNA". Lineage: Eukaryota; Viridiplantae; Streptophyta; Magnoliopsida; Poales; Poaceae. The record is from RNAcentral.